This 734-nucleotide long non-coding RNA is filed under the name Homo sapiens (human). RNAcentral describes it as "HSALNT0192433". The record is from RNAcentral. Lineage: Eukaryota; Metazoa; Chordata; Mammalia; Primates; Hominidae.
GAGACAAGGUCUUGCUCUGUCACCCAAGAUGGAAUACAAAGAAAUGGCAUGAUCGUAGCUCACUGUAGCCUCAAACUCCUAGCCUCAAGCAAUUCUCCUGCCCCCGCCUCCAAGUAGCUAGGACUACAGACGAAUGUUGGCUGUGACUCUUAUGAUGGUGAGAAAAGUUAUGACAUCAUUCCAUCCCUACAGUUUCUGGUGCCCAUCGUGGACCAGCUGAACACUUGACUCACUCCAGAGCCUGCAGAUGAGAUCCUGGGACAACUGACAAAAAGCCACCAAAAGGUUAAGACAUUUUUACAAAGGUCAGCUCUCCCAUAUGCCUGCCUAUAAUGUUCAGUUGAGAACCAAAUGUAAACAUUUCUCUUUAACCUCUGCCUUCCAAAUUCAGGUUAGCAGAAUAAAAUUGUCUGUCUGGAUUGUGAAAAAAAAAAAAAAAAAAAACAGCCAAGAAACUUGUUAUGUUUUUCUCUUGUUAAUUUGUCUUUUUAAAUAGGCAUGUCAGUUGUAACUCUUUUGAUGGUGAAGAAAGGUAAUAUACCUUUAUGCCCCUACAGUAGCAAAAGCCUGGCACAGAAUAUGUGCUUAAUAAACAUUUGUUGGAAAUAAUGAAUAAGCAAGUGGUUGGAUUUGCUCCUCCAAGAAGGAGAAGAAAGGAGUAAAGAAUAUAGGAGAGGAAAUUGGAGGAGAGGAAGAGGAACAGGGUGUUAGGACAGGAGAGGUGCAGAGUCUAG